Molecule: ribosomal RNA, 497 nt
Filed under: uncultured bacterium
Lineage: Bacteria
Description: partial 16S ribosomal RNA
Rfam family: Bacterial small subunit ribosomal RNA
Source: RNAcentral
GACGAACGCUGGCGGCGUGCCUAAUACAUGCAAGUUGAGCGCUGAAGGUUGGUACUUGUACCAACUGGAUGAGCAGCGAACGGGUGAGUAACGCGUGGGGAAUCUGCCUUUGAGCGGGGGACAACAUUUGGAAACGAAUGCUAAUACCGCAUAAAAACUUUAAACACAAGUUUUAAGUUUGCAAGAUGCACUUGCAUCACUCCAAGAUGAUCCCGCGUUGUAUUAGCUAGUUGGUGAGGUAAAGGCUCACCAAGGCGAUGAUACAUAGCCGACCUGAGAGGGUGAUCGGCCACAUUGGGACUGAGACACGGCCCAAACUCCUACGGGAGGCAGCAGUAGGGAAUCUUCGGCAAUGGACGAAAGUCUGACCGAGCAACGCCGCGUGAGUGAAGAAGGUUUUCGGAUCGUAAAACUCUGUUGGUAGAGAAGAACGUUGGUGAGAGUGGAAAGCUCAUCAAGUGACGGUAACUACCCAGAAAGGGACGGCUAACUACGUG